AACGGUAACAGGUCUUCGGAUGCUGACGAGUGGCGAACGGGUGAGUAAUACAUCGGAACGUGCCCGAUCGUGGGGGAUAACGGAGCGAAAGCUUUGCUAAUACCGCAUACGAUCUACGGAUGAAAGCAGGGGACCGCAAGGCCUUGCGCGGACGGAGCGGCCGAUGGCAGAUUAGGUAGUUGGUGGGAUAAAAGCUUACCAAGCCGACGAUCUGUAGCUGGUCUGAGAGGACGACCAGCCACACUGGGACUGAGACACGGCCCAGACUCC
Molecule: ribosomal RNA, 270 nt
Filed under: unidentified marine bacterioplankton
Lineage: Bacteria
Also listed under: 1 other name
Description: partial 16S ribosomal RNA
Rfam family: Bacterial small subunit ribosomal RNA
Source: RNAcentral